Amphiprion ocellaris (clown anemonefish) is the source of this 3424-nucleotide long non-coding RNA. RefSeq lists it as uncharacterized. Lineage: Eukaryota; Metazoa; Chordata; Actinopteri; Pomacentridae. The transcript has 3 exons. The record is from RefSeq and is a predicted model, not a curated record.
CAUUCAGACUUUGGUCACUUUAAUAAUCCUCACAGCUUCGUUCAGAUGUACCCAUGAAAGUGACAGAGAAAGCUGUUGUAUGGUGAGAUAUUUGUCAUACACCAGAUUGGAAAGCACAUGAGGUGACAGUUUCAUUUAGCUUUUAUUCAAAGCGACCUACACUACCGUUCAGAAGUUUGGGAUCACUUAGAAAUGUUAAUGUGGUAAAUGACUAUUGUAGCUGGAAACAGCUGAUUUUUAAUGGAAUAUCUCCAUAGAGGUACAGAGGAACAUUUCCAGCAACCAUCACUCCUGUGUUCUAAUGCUACAUUGUGUUAGCUAAUGGUGUUGAAAGGCUCAUUGAUGAUUAGAAAACCCUUGUGCAGUUAUGUUAGCACAUGGAUAAAAGUGGGAGUUUUCAUGGAAAACAUGGAAUUGUCUGGAUCACCACAAACUUUUGAACGGUAGUGUACCAAUAUUGUUUACAUCAAUUUGUCAUUGGGUUUAAAGUUAUGGUUCAAAGAUGUAGAAUCAGUGUCAAUGCUGGCAUCAGAUUCUCCAGAGUUGGGUAGAUAACAUCUCUCACGCUGUAAUAAACCGAAAAAUAUGUUUUUCUUAACCGUUAGAUGCUCCAGUGAUUGGACCCUACACUCUUCCAUGUAGGAAUCAAUGUAUGUUUAUACCAUUUUGGUUCAGAAUAAUCAUUUGUAUUAUUGAUUGUUUUAUAUUUUGGUCCACACAAGAAUGAAGUUUGACAUGCAAACCAGUAUGUAGAUGUAUAAAUACACGUGCACACACACAAUCACACUCAAUACAUAGACUAAAGCUAGCUAGCUUAGUUAGCUAACUAUAAAGUAGGCUAAUUUGAUGAUACAUAAUAAUAACACGAGUCAUUAAUGUGCAAGUAUGUUGAGAAAUAUCAAUUUGAUCACAUCAAACUUUUUCUGAGGUAAAUGUAGAUAUUACUUCCAUGUAUGAGGUCUUUCUGUGUAGAACUUUAUUUUAAAACUUUCUUUGUCCCCCUGGGGACAAAUAAAGUUUCCUGAAUCUGAAUCUAAAGUAAUCCUCCUGAUUGAUGACACUUCUGACACAGUGUGUGGUCCACAGUAAAUACAGUGAUGGAAGAAAGUUUUCAGACACCCUUAAAAUUUUACACAAUCUCAGACAUUAUCAUGAAGUAUUUGUGGACAAAUCUUUUUUGUGUUUCCAAAGGUGUAGCUGCAUUAGACAGACACAAACAAGUACACAUUCUAUAUUUUUUUGUUCAUUGUUUGCAAGAAAAACUAACAAAACUAAAUUUUACUAAAAUGACCCAGUACUCAAAAUUUCUUAUUUUUAUGGAACCAAGCAGUUAUAAGUUUUAAAUGGCUUUUUUAGGAUUUGUUUAGUAUUAUGGCUGCGAUUGUACUAAAACAAAUUACACUUGAACACCUAAGAAUGAUUCUUAGUGCAAUAUACAUACAAAUGUAUGGGAUAUGUGGAAACUUUUUUCCACCACUGUAUGUUCCUGACAGUCACAACCACUGUUCCCUCUAAGCUGCGCGCGUGCGCAAUUGCGCACUGCUGACACGGUCUCCGCGCACAGAAAAUCUGCGCUGCGCACAAAAAAAAAAUCCAACCUAAAUUGUAAAUAAAAUAAACACGUAACAAUUCAUUCUGUGCUAUUUUUCAAUGUGAGUCAGUGAGUGACCGGUGACUGGCUGCUGCAGCCAAUGAUGCGAUUCACAUACGUAUUUACCAUAGACUGUAUAUAAUGGUAUUUACGCAGCUAAUCAACGUCAGGCGUCCUUAUGUGCAGCCACCUUUGUUCUCAAAGAUAUGAAUGAGUAGAUAGGACACGCCCCUUUGAGCUGCGUGCUACAGCGAGGCUAAGCUAGUGGGGGAAAAGUUUCAGUGCAUUCCGUUGAUGUAGACGGCGUGAAAACGGAAACAACAAGAAUGCCGUCUCACUGUGCUGCAUACAGUUACACACUACGUCGUACGAUUGAGACAAGGAAACUUGGAAUGACUUUUCAUAGGUUUCCCAGAGACUAUGGGUUGAGGAGGAAUUGGAAGUUUGUCGGCUUAGACCUGGUGUCAUUCCAUCAGUGUUAAACUUCCCGGUUCAUCUUGGAAGAGUACGUGCCAGAAAGACCACGACCAAGCAGCCUUGAGAUCUUAGACAGCGUCUCCCUGAGACCAAAGAACUACAGACUCUUCACAACCUGCUCAAACUCUUGGUACAGGACCUCACCACACGGGUCAAGAAGGUUUCCUUCUCAUUUCUACUCUGAAGCUCACCUUCUCCUGCUCAAACUGCUGACAAAUGUUUCUGCUGCUCUAAAGUCUGCUCUCCAGAACUUCCUAAAAACUCUCAAAGUCUCUUCUGCUGCAGGUUGCUUUGUAGAACUGUUCCAGAAAACCUCACUAAACCACAUGGAGGAGCCUCAAGAUAGUCGUCCAAAUGAAACCGUACAAAAACCAAACUAGCACAACCCAAACACUAAAGUCUCCUGCAGUCUACCAGAGAACCUCUGAGAACAGAGAAACAGGACAGGAACUCUUACCUUCUGGACAACCAACGCUGGUUCACAAACAAGAAUACAGAAUGUGUCUGACCAGAAACCUCUAAAGACUCACUACAGCCAAGAUAAAGACACAACUCACCUGCAACAAAUCCACUAAUCACUGCACACAUUAGCACCAUGUGCUAACUGUGGCUAAAGAACCACAUUUACCAAGACAACUAUCCAGUACAAAGCCCUAAAACACACCAAGAAACACAUUAAAGACGAUUUUACUGCUGGAAGCUGCAAGCCAACGCCUAAAGAACAAACUGAAGAAACGGAACCAAACCCAGUUCACUGGUGAAGAGAAACAGAGGAAAUGUUUGUCUGCAGCUAAACAAAGCAGGAAGACACUGAGCUGCUCAGGUGUUCCUGAUAACACCAAGCAGCCACCUGGACAGCCAAUAGGAACACAGCUUCCUGGAAGUCCAGAGGGCUGGGUUAGUCAAGGAAAUUUAGUUUAAAGUUGAAGCAGAAAGUUAACAAAGAAAGUUGAAAACCACCUUCUGAUCCCUGAAAUCUCUGAGUUUUCACACAAAGAACGCCUGAACAUGUCAAACUGGUUCCAUAGUAGAACCAUCAUUGUAAAAACGUCAUAGUAUGGUGUGUUGCUCAAAAAACAUUAGGACCCGGCUGUCAGGGGACAAACAUGUAAGAAACAUGAGAACAGAGAGAACCCAACCAGUAGGUCACAGUUUAUCAUCAUCUAAUCAUCUCCUGAAGUCCAUAUGGUGAGAGACAUCAGUAUCUGGUUGUUCAUUUACCAGAGGAUGCUUAUAAUCAUGCUGAUGUGGUCUGUACUCUACAGUAUUUUAGUGACUCAAUAAAUGCCUAAGUUGUUUUUUUUAAAUGCUUUUUAGUUUUUAAUAAACAUUUAAGAGCCUAUAUGUAAUCAAUAA